Molecule: non-coding RNA, 375 nt
Organism: Paramuricea clavata
Lineage: Eukaryota; Metazoa; Cnidaria; Anthozoa; Malacalcyonacea; Plexauridae
Source: the annotation of a GenBank genome assembly
GUAUAACAUCCCUCUUGCAACUGGUCUCGCAAUACUUAUGCACUGAAUGGCUUCCUUGGCUUUUGACUGACAAUCUGGCGCCAAACGUUAGCACUCGCGGUUUUUAUACUAUUUUUAAUAUUGAUCAUUGCAAGUUGCAUGGAACAUAUUGCUUGGUGUAACAUCCUUUGCAAUGCAAUCCUGAAAUCGUUUUUCUUAACAUUGCGGCACAAGUUCCGAGGCAAGUUGCUUAGUGUAACAGCGCUAAUUUCAGAGGAAUUAUUGCAACGGAGAGAUGUUGUUUCGCUCAGCUUCUGAAAGUUGUACAUUCCGUAUCGGAUAGGUGCUUUUUCGCGCCGCUACGAAAAGCUAUCCGACAUAGUGUAAACAGAGCCU